CGCCGCGUGAGUGAUNGACGGUCUUCGGAUNUGUAAGGCUCUGUCUUUGGGNACGAUAAUGACNGUACCCAAGGAGGAAGCCACGGCUAACUACGUGCCAGCAGCCGCGGUAAUACGUAGGUGGCGAGCGUUGUCCGGAUUUACUGGGCGUAAAGGGAGCGUAGGCGGAUUUUUAAGUGGGAUGUGAAAUACCCGGGCUCAACCUGGGUGCUGCAUUCCAAACUGGGAAUCUAGAGUGCAGGAGGGGAGAGUGGAAUUCCUAGUGUAGCGGUGAAAUGCGUAGAGAUUAGGAAGAACACCAGUGGCGAAGGCGACUCUCUGGACUGUAACUGACGCUGAGGCUCGAAAGCGUGGGGAGCGAACAGGAUUAGAUACCCUGGUAGUC
This 385-nucleotide ribosomal RNA is filed under the name uncultured Eubacterium sp. RNAcentral's name for it is "bacterial SSU rRNA". It matches the Rfam family "Bacterial small subunit ribosomal RNA", at positions 395 to 795 of the family's 1533-position model. Lineage: Bacteria; Bacillati; Bacillota; Clostridia; Eubacteriales; Eubacteriaceae. The record is from RNAcentral.